Molecule: long non-coding RNA, 3035 nt
Filed under: Ananas comosus (pineapple)
Lineage: Eukaryota; Viridiplantae; Streptophyta; Magnoliopsida; Poales; Bromeliaceae
Description: long non-coding RNA (ACOM_LNC037414)
Source: RNAcentral
UCGAUUCGUUCCAAAUUUAAACUCUCUGGGCAUAAUAGAACAAUAUAGUUUGGUUUUACUCUUUAUUCGAUUGAAUGAGAAAAAGUAUUCGUUGCAAAGUUAUACUGUUAUGGCGCUACUGAGUAGUCUAAUUUAGUUCCGGUUUUGGUUCUUGUGAACUUUGACAUCGAUUCGUUCCAAAUUUAUACUCUCGGGGCAUAAUAGAACAAUAUAAUUAGGUUUUGCUCUUUGUUCGAUUAAAUGAGAAAAAGUUCUAGCUGCAAAGUUAUACUGUUAGGGCUCAACUGAGUUGUCUAACGUUGUUCCGGUUUUGAUUCUUGUGAACGUUGACAUCGAUUCGUUCCAAAUUUACGCUCUCGGGGCAUAAUAGAAAGCUUUUACUCCUUGUUCGACAGAUCGAGAAAAUGUACUCUUUGCAAAGUUAUACGUUAUGGCGCAACAGAAUAGUCUAAUGGUGUUCCGGUUUUGGUUCCUGUGAACAUUGACAUCGAUUUGUUCCAAAUUUACUCUCUCAGGGCAUAAUAGAACAAUAUUAUUAGGUUUUACGCUUUAUUCGAUUGAACGGGAAAAAGUUCUCGUCGCAAAAUUAUACUGUUAUAGCGCAACUGAGUAGUCUAAUGUAGUUCCGAUUUUGGUUCUUGUGAACGUUGACAUCGAUUCGUUCCAAAUUUACACUCUCGGAGCAUAAUAGAAAGCUUUUACUCCUUGUCCGAUAGAAUAAGAAAAAGUUCUCGUUGCAAAGUUAUACUAUUAUGGCGCAACUAAGUAGUCUAAUGUUGUUCCGGUUUUGGUUCUUGUGAACGUUGACAUCGAUUAGUUCCAAAUUUACUCUCUCGGUGCUUAAUUGAACAAUAUUAUUAGCUUUUACGCUUUAUUUGAUUGAACGAGUGUCACGCCCCUAGACCGAUGCCAAUUUGGCCCGACCCGAGCACGCCAAACAGACGACGAACGGAUAGAGUUUUCCCUGUCCGCCCAAGGCUCAUCACAUGUACAUUUUCCUCAAUAGAGAAAAGCACUAGCGGAAACAUACAUAAACGGCUUACACGAGGGUAAGCAAUAGCCAUUAGUGAAAGAACGGGAAACUAAACAUCUACACAAGUAAUAUGAUUCAUUUUAGAUCAUAUACAUUGCAUCCAUUUCUUACAUUUAGGAUUCUUUGCAUUUCAUUACAUCAUUUCAUCAUUUCUUUCUUCCAUCACAUUUAUCUCAAAAUACACAUUACAUUCUUUUCUUUACAUUACUAAUCAUUAUGUACAAAAGAUGAACAUAGGGUAGACACUAUCAAAAUGUAAACCCAACUCAACUCUGGUGGCCUUUGUCUAAGGCGCGAUACCUUUACCUCGGUCACUCGCCGGCUCGCUCGGCCCCGGCUCUGUGGAAAUAGUGGGGUGAGAGCUACAACAAAGUUUCCAGUGGGUUCGGCCUCAACAUCACCGACUUUCCCACUAGGACUAACUCAGGCAUAAUAGAAAGAAUAAGCUGUAUAGUAACCAAUCUAUAACAUGAUGCUAAUAUGCCUGAAAAAUAAACAAGAAGUAUGCUCAACAUUAAACAUAUGCAGAUUAUGCAAGUUCUUUUGUUCUUUACACUUUACACUUUACACUUUGUUCUUUGCUCUUUGUUCUUUACUCUUUAAUCUCAAGGCUAACCCGGGGGUGUCGCCACAUUAACUUGCUUCACAUUAAGUCCAUCAUCGCAGGAACUCACCCGCUAGGACCGUCCUUCGGGUUUACUCCAACCCGUAAUGCAUAACUCCGGAGCGCAUCGCCCGAGGGGGAGCGACCGCUCUCGAGCACGGAACUCAUAGCAAGUAUGAUCAUAUCCUUAACUCAAAGGAUUUAUAUGAUCAAUCUUGACUUUUCACUAGCUCUAGUGUUCUUUCAUCACUUUAUGUUGCAAACUCUUGCAAUCACAUUCUUUACAUUUCUCUAUUCUUGCUAGCUCUAGCAUUCUUGUUCGUUACAAUACUUGUUCUUAUCGCCCCACUUUUCUUUAAUCUUACACAUUGUCAUUUUCAUCACUCUUUACAUCACGUUAGUUCUUUACAUCACACUAACUUUAGUGUCUCUUUACUUUACAUUUUCAAAUGCCACUCGAUCUAUGUCAUGGUGUCACACUGUUCUUUUGCUCACUUUGGGUGCUCACUUUUCUCUCAUGCAUACACAUAGGGUUUUUGACGUUUACAUAGUUCUUAUUCAUCAUAUUAUGCAAGUUGAACGUUGACAUCGAUUCGUUCCAAAUUUACACUCUCGGGGCAUAAUAGAAAGCUUUUACUCCUUGUUCGACAGAUCGAGAAAAAGUACUCAUUGCAAAAUUUUACUGUUAUGGCGCAACAGAAUAGUCUAAUGGUGUUCCGGUUUUGGUUCCUGUGAACAUUGAUAUCGAUUUGUUCCAAAUUUACUCUCUCAGGGCAUAAUAGAACAAUAUUAUUAGGUUUUACGCUUUAUUCGAUUGAACGAGAAAAAGUACUCGUCGCAAAAUUAUACUGUUAUGGCGCAAGUGAGUAGUCUAAUGUAGUUCCGAUUUUGGUUCUUGUGAACGUUGACAUCGAUUCGUUCCAAAUUUACACUCUCGGGGCUUAAUAGAAAGCUUUUACUCCUUGUCCGAUAGAAAAAGAAAAAGUUCUCGCUGCAAAGUUAUACUAUUAUGGCGCAACUGAGUUGUCUAAUGUUGUUCCGAUUUUGGUUAUUGUGAAGGGUCACAUCGAUUCGUUCUAAAUUUACACUCUCGGGGCAUAAUAGAAAGCUUUUACACCGUGUUCGAUAGAAUAAGAAAAAGUACUCAUCGCAAAGUUAUACUGUUAUGGCGCAACUGAGUAGUCUAAUGUUGUUCCGGUUUUGGUUCUUGUGAACGUUGACAUCGAUUCGUUCCAAAUUAAAACUCUCGGGGUAUAAUAGAGCAAUAUAAUUAGGUUUUGCUCUUUGUUCGAUUGAAUGAGAAAAAAUACUAGUUGCAAAGUUAUACUGUUAGGGCUCAACUGAGUAGUCUAACGUUGUUCCGGUUUUGGUUCUUGUAAACGUUGACAUCGUUUCGUU